RNAcentral lists this long non-coding RNA (715 nucleotides) under Monodelphis domestica (gray short-tailed opossum). Its description in RNAcentral is "lncRNA (ENSMODG00000044601.1)". Lineage: Eukaryota; Metazoa; Chordata; Mammalia; Didelphimorphia; Didelphidae. The record is from RNAcentral.
CGACAAGAUCCUCGUGGCAAUCAUUCUCUCUUUUCCUAGGAAGGACGCUAUCAAGGAAGUCAACCUGUAGUUUUCCUUUGUUUGACUUAAUCAAAUUCCAGGACAAAUCCUGAUUCCCUGAAGCCCAGAGGCCCUCGAGGAUCCAAGAUGGCGCGCUACAAUGACUUUGCCUUUUGAUGUGGAUCAUGGCCUGCCCUAGAAGUGCCUGAGAUGACUUGUCCUGUGGCCUGGAUGUUCCUGCUACUGGAGCUUUCAUGACUACUUACAUUAGAGAUCCACCUCGACCUGCUCCUGCCAUCCUCUAGUAAAUGGAAGACCCAGGACUCAGACCUUCCAAAGCAGGGAUGCUCCUCAUCCUCUUAUCUGUCGCCCUGGAACUUCACUCCUUCAGGGAACCAUUAAAUGGUAGUACACCCCAUUCCUGGACUUCCCAUCACUGGACGUGCUUAUGGAACCAAAAAGAUGGAGAUGGAAAAAGGCAUUGGAUUUCUGAAACCAAAAAGACACUUUCUGGUCACUAGAAUCUCCCUUCAAACUACUCAUCUGUAUGAGGUAGGAGAAUCAAUACACUUUCCCUACAUUCCGUUGGGUUGACCACUCCCUCAGGAAGCACAAGCUCAAAAGCUGACAACCUCUUUCCACUUUGUGCUUCUGAGAAGAUGAUGGACCCUUUUCUGGAGAUGGACAUGUCCAGGUGUAGAGAUAACUGGUGAUA